This 167-nucleotide non-coding RNA is filed under the name alpha proteobacterium BAL199. RNAcentral describes it as "FMN riboswitch aptamer (RFN element)". It matches the Rfam family "FMN riboswitch aptamer (RFN element)". Rfam says of the family: The RFN element is a highly conserved domain that is found frequently in the 5'-untranslated regions of prokaryotic mRNAs that encode for flavin mononucleotide (FMN) biosynthesis and transport proteins. The record is from Rfam by way of RNAcentral. Lineage: Bacteria; Pseudomonadati; Pseudomonadota; Alphaproteobacteria.
CAGCGUUCUCGGGGCGGGGUGUAACUCCCCACCGGCGGUGAUGAUCGACGGGACGUGCGUUCCGGAUAUCUCAGCCCGCGAGCGCCCGCCACCUCCCGGUGGCGGGGUCAGCAGAUUCGGUGUGAUUCCGAAGCCGACGGUCACAGUCCGGAUGGAAGAGAACGGGA